CAAUUUUUCUUUUUUUAUUAUGUCUGAAGAUCUAUCUUAGUCAGUCAAUGAAGUAUCAAGUAAUUAAGAUGAAAAUUAUAUUUCUAAAAUUACUUGGUUCUUCCUUGAUUUGAUUGAGAUUGAGAUUUCAUGAGUGAAUAUAAAAUAUUCAAAGUGAAAGUUAGGAAUUGACUCUCUUUUGUAGAUUUCUCUUAUAGGUUUAACAAUUUUUCUUUUUUUAUUAUGUCUGAAGAUCUAUCUUAAUCAGUCAAUGAAGUAUCAAGUAAUUAAGAUGAAAUUAUAUUUCUAAAAUUACUUGGUACUUCCUUGAUCUGAUUGAGAUUGAGAUUUCA
RNAcentral lists this long non-coding RNA (332 nucleotides) under Vigna radiata. RNAcentral describes it as "long non-coding RNA (VRAD_LNC000203)". The record is from RNAcentral. Lineage: Eukaryota; Viridiplantae; Streptophyta; Magnoliopsida; Fabales; Fabaceae.